GGCAGAGCCCAGCCACCAGGGUCUGCUCCAUGCCUGGUCCCUGGAGAGGCCCUCACCCUCUCUGCUUUCACCCAACCCGACUGACACGGAGUAGGAGGUGGGAAUCAUGCAGGCAGGGAGCUUAGGAAGCCUGGUUCAAGAUUGCUUUGAAUGGCAGGCCCCCUGCUGUGCUCCUGGGGAGAGAGCCUGAAACCUGGAUGCUCGGGAGCCCCUCAGAUCCGUCAUCUGUCCCCGACACCCCUGUGGUGAGCCUUGCCACUGGGCCCUGAGAAGCUCAGAGCAGUCGAGUCAGGGCAGUGGGACAUGACCCAGGUCAGAUGUGGCUUUUCCGUAAUUGUACACCAAUGAUCAAGAGAAAAUGAAGGAUUUUAAUAUGUAAGUCCUUGUCAGGAACCCCGGCCCACCCUUGACCCCAGCCAUGUGCCCCUAGGAGCCUGGGACCCCCAGCCCAGUAGGCGUGCAUCAGUGUCCACAUGCACCCAUGCAAGUACACAGGAUGCACUCAGGACAUGGCCCCAGAAGCCAGGAUGGAUCCAGUGCCCCCCAACCUGGUGUCCUGCUUCCUGAGAUGAGUCCAACUAUUCUCUCCCCCUCCCCCAGCACACACCUACACUUGAUGGCAGGGAAAUAAUUAUUUCCUGCAGAAUGGGCUGCAAAUGUAACAAACCCCCUGACCUUCAGUCUGAAGAGAGAGAACUAUCAACCACACAGAAGCAAAGAUCCAGAGAAAUACUGAGGGAUGCUACCAGACACUCAACCAGGGCCACUCUCCGAGAUUCCAGCCAGCCACACAGCAAAGAUGCUGGCCGGGGACACUGCCCCAAACCACCAGACAGAACCCCAAAGAAACAGCUCCACACACAGUGGAAGAUACACCAGAGACUGUUAGAAGGACCAUCAGACAAAGCCAAAGAGACAGGUAGAUGAAACCAGAUAACCAGCCAGAGAGGUGGUCAGAGAACAGCGACACAAUCAAAGGACCCACCAGAAACACUGUAAAGGACUCAGCUAGACCCAGGCAGAUACACUGCCGAAGGACGAGCAAGGAGCACAGGCAGUGAAGCCGUCGGCGACAAAGCCAGAGAGCUAAGACACUGUCAGAAACAGUGCCAGAGAAACCGUCUGACACACAAGCAGAGAAAUACCAGAGAAACUGAUAGACGCAAACAGGCGUACACCCAGAAAAACAGCUUGAGAGAAGAGCCAGAGCCACAGCCAGAUGCUCAGUCAGGAAGUAUCCACACCACUCCAAACACUGCCAGAGACACUGUCAGACACACAGUCAGACACACUGCCAGAGACACCGUUAUAAAGACUGCCAGAGAAACAGCCAGACACACAGCCAGAAAAACUGACAGAGACGCAGUGCCAGAUAUACCCCGAGAAAGUGCCAGAGACUCAGCUCCAGACAGUGCAGACAUAGCAUAACAGAGACAAAUGUGGGUAUCAGCCUGAAGCAGCUGCGGAGAGGCUGGAGAGCAAUGAACUUCCUGGGGCUUCCUGUGGGAGAGGGCUCCUGCCUGCCUUUUGCUACCCUUGACCCUCUCCAGGAAAGUCCCCUCCUCUGAGCCUGCUUUUCCUUUCCUCCCUGUCACAGCCACAGGUGCCCUGACUGCCCCUCCCUGGCACAGUAAAUCUCUCUGUGUCCUAAGUGGCCCCAGCUACCCUUUGCGCAUCAGUGACUCCUGGAGCCUUAGCUACCACUUGGCCUGGCUCCUUCUGACCCUCAGCCCCUCACCACUCUUCAGCUACUCCUCAGGCCUAGGAGGUUAAGACAAUGGCCAAAGUUACACAGCCAGCAAGCCGUGCAGCCAGGAAAUGAACCCAGGACUGCCUGAAUUCAGAGCUGGUGUAAGAGAGAGAAAACGAGACCAGCAGCCAGAGGCCUACCUGGUUCCCCAACCUCAGCCCUGGCCAGUCG
Molecule: long non-coding RNA, 1921 nt
Filed under: Homo sapiens (human)
Lineage: Eukaryota; Metazoa; Chordata; Mammalia; Primates; Hominidae
Description: non-protein coding CNTFR-AS1:9
Source: RNAcentral